Long non-coding RNA from Panicum virgatum (switchgrass), 1682 nucleotides. RefSeq lists it as uncharacterized. The record is from RefSeq and is a predicted model, not a curated record. NCBI's taxonomy places the organism in Eukaryota, Viridiplantae, Streptophyta, Magnoliopsida, Poales, Poaceae. The transcript is spliced from 2 exons.
CUACUGCCCAUCGAACUGACCACCGUCGCCCUCCCUACCUCCCUCCCUCCGCCCCUCUUCUGCGUGCGCCAGGCCAGCCCGCGCCUCAAGCCGCCGCAUCCCAGCCCGGAUCUGCAGAGCUGCCCGAACCCCCUGCAAGACCACCCUACCUACUUCUGAUGUCAAGCAGUACUUCGUGAACCCGGACGACACGGUGGCGAAGAAGAUCGUGGCGCACAAGAGCAGCGCGCAGGGGACGCACUUCCAGUGCGCCUGCCCGCGGCGGCGCGUCUAUUUCCAGCCGGGCGAGGUGAUAGCAGCGGGCUCUGCCGGGCCUCAACACGGUCAUCCGCGAGCUCGUCUGCAGCCUCCAUGACAUGUACGGCGUCACCAGCGUGCUGGGCAUCGAGGGCAGGCAGGACACGAGCAAGACCGUGGACAGCAUCCAGGACCGUCGCGCGGCGCCCACGUCCGCCCCUACCGCUACCGCAGCCACAGAGGCUGGCGCGUGCGCGAGCUGGAGCUGGCCGCGCACCCACAGGCCCCACCCCUCUCGCCGCGCGCCGCCACUGGCGCCCGCGGUCGCCUUCGGAUCCGGACCCUCCAUGAGUGGCGUGAGCGCCUCCCCCGCCCCUCCGACCACGCGCAGCGCUGCCACCACCUCGGCCGCGUUGGACGCAGACCGCCGCCGCGGCAAGGCCAGGUCGCGGUCGGAGCAGGGCCAGCUGCACGGCCGGGCCAGGCCACGGGCAGAGAGCAGGCCAGGGCGGUCAGGCAGCCGCGCGAGGCCAGGCCAGGGGCAGGUAGCUCCCAGUAUAAAUUAGAAAGUAUAAAUUAGAAGGGUAGGUACAUCUUUAUCCACCUCCGUUAGGUUCUGUUAGAGUCGUUCUGUCAAAAAUGGUACAUAGGUAAAAGAACAUUCUCGCGAUGAUAAACACGUGUCUCUAAAUUUUUUAGUAGUAUGCACAUAAUCAACAACUUUCAUAAUGAUAUAUACGUAAAAGACUCCACUCAAAACCUCCGUCGUGCUCAAUGACCAAAUAACAAUUGUAGACCUGUGAAGUCACUAGUCAUCAAUUUAGAAAAUAUCAUUGCUGUCGUCAUCCUCAAUUUAGAAAAUAUCAUGGACAGCAGUAUCAGCAUCCUUCAGCGGCCGCGGCUGUAACAAGCAGCAACUGACUGACAGGCAUGGAUAAAGGAAUUUCCAGCACUAAUGGUUGUUUUUCCAUUUUAGAUGAAAUCUCACCAUGCCAAUGUUCGGACUUAAUUCUGAAUAAAGAGAACCUUGCACCGUGCGGAUUACAAGUAAAUCUGCAUCAGCUGGAUAGUCUACUUGUGGGCUGGUUCAAAUUCUGAAUAAAAGUUUAUGCAUGGACUAAUUCUCUAAGCUAAGCAUAGGUCACGGCCAAAAUUUUCUGCAUAUUACUUAAUCCAAACUGAACCAAAAUUAGCUCCAAAACAGGGAAUUAAUUUUUAAAUCUAAUCCUAAGUUACCACCACUGCAUUUAUUUAUUAUUUGAACUAUUAUUUGUUUGUGGCAUUCACGUAAGGCUGAAAUGCAUUUAUUUUAUUUAUGCUACAAUGUGUAUCUAUAGACAAGUGCAACUAUUAUUUAUUUGUGAGCAUCAAUUUCAGUCAUGGGCAUAGAACAUCCAUCCAAAUUCAGUGGCACAAGCGUAAACAAAGUUUUGCAUGCUGCUCAA